Molecule: unclassified non-coding RNA, 241 nt
Filed under: Trichophaea woolhopeia
Lineage: Eukaryota; Fungi; Ascomycota; Pezizomycetes; Pezizales; Pyronemataceae
Description: partial internal transcribed spacer 2
Source: RNAcentral
AACUUAACUCUAGCAGUUUUGCUUGGAUAUGAAGGAAGAGCAAGCACAUUGUAGGCUCUCCUUUGAAAUGCAUUAGUAGAUAUAAAGUUGUGAAUUACACUUGUUUUGAUGUAAUAGUCUUUAUUAGUUGUGAUUUGUAUACAGUUAUAUCUUGCUUUAACAAUUGUUUUUUUCUGGGCAGUUGAUUAUAAGAGUCAUAUGAAUCUUAUUUUAAAACACCUGCAAAAAAAUAUAAUUUUAU